AACAUUCAUUGUUGUCGGUGGGUUGUGAGGACUGAGGCCAGACCCACCGGGGGAUGAAUGUCA
Molecule: microRNA precursor, 63 nt
Filed under: Homo sapiens (human)
Lineage: Eukaryota; Metazoa; Chordata; Mammalia; Primates; Hominidae
Description: Hsa-Mir-181-P2c_pre stem-loop
Source: RNAcentral